Numida meleagris (helmeted guineafowl) is the source of this 12300-nucleotide long non-coding RNA. RefSeq lists it as uncharacterized. The record is from RefSeq and is a predicted model, not a curated record. The transcript has 2 exons. NCBI's taxonomy places the organism in Eukaryota, Metazoa, Chordata, Aves, Galliformes, Numididae.
GCUGGAUGUGGCUCUGGGCAGCCUGGUCUAGUGGCUGGCAACCCUGCACUCAGCGGGGGAGUAGAAACUAGAUGAUUUUUGAGGUCCUUUUAAACCCAGGCUAUUCUAUGAUUCUAUGAUAUAAUUCCAUGAGGCCACUUCAUAUUUGAAAUGAUCCCUGGACUGUUUUAUUCUUGUGUUAUUUUGUGAAAUAUAGGAGUCUGGGGAAAAAUAAAAAAGAGACACUAGUAAGGGUAGUAUUAAAUAUGAAAAUCCCACCCUUCUUCCUAAAGGUGCUUCGUAAGUCUGAAAGUCCUCUGGGAGAACUGAAUUCCACAUGCACCAUCAUGAGUAAGAACCUACCUCUCUGUGUGUGUGUUAAUGCAGUACUACAACUGCCUUAUUACUAUUACAUUUAAAGAUUUCUACAUCUUUUUCUUCCAAACAGAAUAAAUUCAGCAAUCUGAUACAUCUUUUAUUUCUUUGCAUUUUUAUAUGAACUUGGAAGUCCCUAUUCGUAAUUGCAACUGCCUCUACUAUUUUUGUAGUAGGUUUUUUUUUGUCAAGAAAAAAACACAGACAUAGUGGAUUUCUGAUUUUCUGUAUGGUUUUAUUUCUGUAUGCACAUAAAGAAGCUGAAUGACUGUCAUUUUUGUCGUCUUGGGAACAACUACAGCCAAAUGCUCAGUGCUGUAGUAGAGUGGGCUGCUAGGAAGGGAGACCUUGAGGCCAGAAGGUAGUUAGCUGUCUUGUUCUUGAGCUGAGAGGCUUGGUAAGGUCUGUACCAAGUCCUCCAGAAGGAAUGGCAAGCUCAUGUGCAUACAUGAAUACAAUGUGAACAGCACAUUUGUUGCCAUAGUCAUUUUCAGCUUGCUCUUGAGUAUUUGGAGAUAAAAGAAAAUGAUGCUUUCCUACCUAUUCUUUUGAAAACCAUUAAUAGUAGUGGGGGAAAUGGGACAUUUAAUGAUAGUAAUUACUUUGUUUUUCACAUUUCCCUGUUCCUUUUUCCCAUAUGAAAGACCAUGGACCCUGAUCUACAUGUCCACAUGGACGUAUCUUCACAUGUCUACUGUUGUGUCCAAGAAAAAGUGGUCUCCACCCAAAAUUGCCAGGAGCUUGCUUUUCAUGCUACUGGGUACAAGAACAUUGCUCAGGAUGAGAUGCUGAGUAUCACUGAUCUCGGGGGUAAAUGAAGAGGAUAAGUGCUUUGCUUGGUAGCAUUUGAGAGAGCAAAGAGUAUAUGGACAUUCUAGCGUUCCCCCAUCCAAAGGAAAAUACAGUUUGUGAAUCCUAAAACCGUUUUCAAAAGCAGAGACUAAAUAGAAAACUUAGUCUUCAAAGUGAUUGUGAGUCAGUCCCCUUCAAAGCAUUUCAAUAGAUUUCUUGAAGUUUCUUUCUAGAGUGUAUUCCAAACGUUUUUGUGGGAUGAUAUAUUCUUCCUGUGUCACAUUUAAUUUUUGUCCAUCAGACUGGCUCCCAUUUUGGUUUUUCUUCUGGCACUAAAGGCUAAUUUCCCUCCUUUAAUUGAAUGCAGGAACUGUAUCCAAUGUGACAGCCACUACCCACUUAAUAAUGGGAUAUUGUCUUUCCCAACUUGCACUCACUUUAAUUAAAAGCAGAGGGCUGACCCCAGAACUGAACUCUUCACUAUCCCUCACUAAUACUUUUACACAUUGCUUCCCACUAAGACUCAGCAGAGCACAUGUGAAGCCUUGGAUGACCAACUUUGUUUUCUUGAGGUUGCAGCAAGAGCUGAUGUUACCUUAUCUGCUGCAGUACCCUGGCCAGUGACACGGGGACAGGUGCUGGUGUAGCUCUUGCAGGCUCAGAACAGGAGCAGAUUUGGGCUGGGAAACAUUUCCAUCCGCACUCACAUUUCAUGAUGUUUGGAAUCAGAUGUUGAAACUUUUAGUCUUUUGUUGUUGUUGCUGUUGUUUUUAACUCGUGUCUUUUUGUGGCUAAAUCUGGGAUGCUGACAUGGGUGCCAAGUCCUCAUUGCUUGGCCUGCACAGGACCUCUCUUGGUCAGCAAGCUUCAUGAGUUGCAUUGUGAGCUGGUAGAGCACAGCAACAGCCACCCAGGAUGAAUUCUGUCCUGUAUUUCCAUAAUAAAUGCUCAAAACUGAGGGGGUUAAUCUUUCAGAGUUCUUCUGGAGGAGUUAGAGGAGCUAACUCAGGGCUUUUUAAUGUUGGGAUUGGCAACGAAAAGCACAAUAUUUGGCCGCUGCUAAUGGCUUUCUGCAUCUUUGAUAGAGGAGGUCCACCACAAAGCCACUCCCACCUUUUCUUCGAUGAGUAAAAUGAUGAUAAUGGCUGAAGCAAUUCUUGUAUCCCAUAUGCCACAGAAAAUCUUUGCUGAUGGUUAGUGCUAAAUAAAACUAGAAAGCAGUACUUCCUUCAUUUACCUCCUACUAAUUGACUAAUUAGUCAAUUCCUAAUUGACUUCUUAGUCAAUUGCUUACAAGCACGGCUGCACUGUGAUGCUUCUCAUUACUUUAGUUUUCCCUUAUCCUUGUAUGGUCCAGCCCCUGCCUCUGGUUCUAGAGCCUUGACCUACCAGAAGAUUUUAAUUUCAUGGCAAGCAUCCACACCAAAUACUUAGUCACUGCUGGCACCACCAAAGACUUCCUUCUGGCCUUGUUUAGCACAAAAAUGUUCAUGUUUGCCUACAUUUCUGCCACUGUAUACAGAGUGCUUAGUCUGAGUGGUUGAAAACCUUUUGGUAUGCCACUUCUCUUGACUGUCUAGGAAACAGGACCAACCUAGCACAUCACAGAAUUAGGAAAUCAUUAAGGUUGGAAAAGACCUCUAGGAUCGUCCAAGUCCAAUCAACAACCCAUCACCACCAUGCACACUAAACUAUGUCCCUAAGUGACACAUCUGCAUGUUUCUUGGAUACCUCCAGAGAUGGUGACUCCACCACCUCCUUGGGCAGCCUGUUCCAAUACCUCACUACUCUUUCUGAGAAGAAAUUUUUCCUAACACUGUUGUGCCAGGGGAGGUUCCUAGCAUGAACAUCCUCUGGCAUAACUUUAAGCCAUUACCACUAGUUCUAUCACUGUUACCUGGGAAAAGAGGCCAACGUCCACCUCACCACAGCCUCCCUUCGUGUAGUUGUAGAGAGCAAUAACAUCUCCCCUGAGUCUCCUCAUCUCCAGAUUAAACAAUCCCAGUUCCCUCAGUCUCUCCUCGUAAGACUUGUGCUCCAGACUGCUCACCAGCUUUGUCACCCAAGGUGGGUUCGAGUCCCACCAGAGUCACCGAGAGUGUGGUGCUGAUAACCCCAAGGUCACGGGUUCGUUCCCCAUACGGGCCAAACACCUGUAAACCGUUGACACCCUUCUCUGAACACACUCCAGGGCCUCAGUGUCUUUCUUGUAGUGUGGGGCCCAAAACUCAACAGAGUACUUGAGGUGUGGCCUCACCAGUGCUGAGUACAGAGGGAAAGUCACCUCCCUGUUCCUGUUGGCAACACUGUUUCUGAUACAAGUCAGGAUGCCAUUGGCGUUCUUGGCCACCUGGGCACACCUCUGGCUCACGUUCAGAUGGCUGUCAGCGAAGACAGGGACCUUAUAAGCGUGAGGAAAAGCAACCUUUUACAUGGAUAAAUAGUGAUAGGAGAAAGGGGAAAGGUUUUAAAUUAAAAGAAGGGAGAUUUAGAAUAGAUAUCAGGAAGAAAUCUUUCACUGAAAGUGUGGCAAGGUGCUGGAACAGACUGCCCAGAGAAGCUGUGCAUGCCCCAUCAAUGGGGGUGUUCAAGGCCAGGUUGGAUGGUGGCCCUGGGCAAUCUGAUUUAGUGCUUAAUCUAAUUCCAAUCCCACCUAUCCCCCUUCCUCAAAGCAGGGAUGCUGGAACUAGAUUAGGUCCCCUCCAAACUUUCUGCUAUGCAGCUUUCCAGCCAUUCUGUUCCAAUCCUGUAACACUGCAUGGGGUUGUUGUGACUGAAGUGUAGGACCCGGCACUUGGUCUAGUUAAAGCUAACAAUUGGCCUCAGCCCAUUGAUCCAACCUGUCCGGAUCCCUCUGGAGGGCCUUCCUACGCUCAGGUAGAUCGACACUUGCAUCAACUUGGUGUCUUCUGCAAACUUGCUGAGGGUGCACUCAAUCCCCUUGUCCGGCUUAUCAAUAAAGAUAUUGAACAGAACAGUCCCCAGUACUGACCCCUGAGGAAUACAACACCUCUGGGUAUACCAUUUCAGGCUUUGCAGCAGGGGGAGUAUAGAGGACAAAAAGAUUUUGCAUACUUCUGCCAAGGGUGACCCUGGGAUAGGAAGAUGAGGAGAAGGCUGUCUUGAAAAUCAAAAUAGAAAUCAUAUCAGUCAGCAGUGAUGCUGACUCCAUCAAGAAAUCUUUUUGCAACUCAUUGUUUCCAUCACCCGAGGCAGGAAAAUGCAUUGUUUGUGCAUCUGCCCAGCAAAAAAGCUUUUUGCUUUGGCUGUAGCAGAUAGGUAGUGGAGCAAGGCAUGGGACACGGUAGGAAAGUUCUCUGUUGGUUGAUGAAGAUGAGUUGCAGUAGUUCCAGCCCAAGGACGUCUCCUAACCCACCCCACAACCUGCUGCACUAGGUGUUAUGCAACUUCUCUACAAUUUCUGUCUCUUGGAGUUUAUGCUACCACUGGCAAGCAUACCGCAGACAAUGAGCAAGCGAGGCUUUAAUGUUUUCUGCUCACUUCUCACUCUUCACUUCAGGACCCCAGAUGUGAACUUCUCACCCUGAACUUCUUCCAGGUUUUGAGACUUUGCAGCAGCCAAAUCAUAGACCAUAAAUUGACAUUUCAGACAGUGGUAUCUCUUGGGCUAUUCCCCUCAUUAUUUCACUGCAAUUCACUUUCUGUCAACCUGCUGUCUACUGAAAUGCAUGUGUUCACUCUUCUCCUGUGGGAAGGAGAGAAAGGAGACAGUUCUGAAAGGAUGGAGACCACGUGAUACAGCAAGAAGAAUUAAUACCUCACCAGCCUGUUCUGCAGCAGCACUGCAGCUCUACCAGCUGCUCCCGAGAGCCAAAAGAAAUCCCUCCUCUGAUUGCUGGAACAAAGUAACACCCCAGAUUGUCACCACAGGAUCCUACAGUGAUACAGGAAGAAGUAUAUCUUGUGAGACAUUAAAGUAAAAUGAAGGCAUGGACAGGCACUGUCCUUCACAACAUUCCCUCUACUCCCAUACACAUCCCAAACUCACACGUUUGUCUGCCACUGGCUUAGUCAUCACAGAUUAAAAAAAGAACACAAGGCAAGACUGGUUGAGCCAGUAGUAGAAUCUUGCUAAUUAAUACCAGCCAGCAGCAGGGACAAAAACAGUGCUCAGCCUUGCUGACUGCUUCCACAAUAAACCAAAACCGUCAUUCCAGCAAGAAGGUUACCACAGAUCUCCACCAUAAAAGGAGAAGGUUGCUCUUAAAAUCUAACUGUUGUGGAUGAUAAAUGUAAGACUGUCUAAAUAAGAAACAGCUCACUUGGCUAGUUAUCUAUGCUGGCCCCUACUGCUACUGAAGAAGUUCCUCUGAACUACCCAGAGCAAAAUAAAAACCAGCUGAGUAUCUUUUCUUAGAUGGCUAGGAUUCAGAUUCACAUCCCAGAUUGUCUGUCUUGCUGUUGGCUUCAUUCUUGGCAUGAAACUGGCCCUGAGGUACCAGACUGGGAAGGAGAGGCAAGUGUGAGUUCAGAGCUGUUAAACCUUCAGCUUAAAAAUCACAUUCACAAAUGCAAAAUAUUCACCUUUCUAAACAGCAGACUGUUAUUUAAGCAAAAAAAAAAAAAAAAAAAAAUUAAACAGGGACUUCCACAGGCUAGCAUCUGACAAGUGGCAAACUGGUGUGUGCCAGAAGACCAAGUCUGGUCUGCCUGUAAUUAAAGUGGAUUCACUUCUACUUCUUCAGUGCCAAUGCCUAGCAAAUAAGCUUGCUUUGGAAACCAAUCAAAUUUAUAAUAAAUAAAACAACAGCCUCUAGUGUGAGGAAGGGCACAACACCACACAACUCUUUUCAUUGGGAAAAGGUGUCAGACAAAGAGAAGGAUGUUUUUCUCCUUAGAAAAAUAACAGUAUGUGCUUCCGGGUAAGUGCUUGUCUCUCUCCCCAAAUUACACUGCCGCCUACCCCACCCCCAUUUUGGGACAUCUGAAGUGACCAAAAAGACUGAAUAUUCUUAACAACUAAGAAAAUCCUAGAGUUACAGUCUAGAGAUAUAUCACGUGUUUCCCAAGGACUCUGAAGUAGGGAAAAAUAGCUCACUUCAUCAUCUCUGUCUUGUUUCACAUAUACUUGUCCAAACAGCAACAGCUUGCUACACAUAAGUUGAAAGUUAAAGGUUUAUUAGAAAAAUGCUUCAUCUUUUAUGAUAUUGUGUAUUUUACACACUCAAUUAAGAUGCUUUUAAUCACUUUCAUUCAAAUUCAUAAUUUGUUAGUAAGUUCCUCAUGCAAUUUCAACAGCUAACAUACUUGUACAGACAGAAUGAGUACUUGUAGUAGGAGAUCAUCUUACUGAGGAGCAGAGAGUAUUUUCAGGAAAUAUUAACUCUUUGUACUGGAAAAUCACAGGAGCAACACCAUGAUGAUACAGCGUCAGCAGUUGUUCCAAGUUCCCUCUCCAUCCACUGAGGAUUUGCAGGGGAUGGAAAUCCAAAAGUCAUCACUAAAUGGGCCACAAAUCAAGACUUAAAAUCAUGAAUAGUUUAACUGGAACACAUCUCUGCUCUAAAUGACAAGCUGUUAUUCCUCCCUCUGCCAAACCUAGAGGUUCAGGAACUCUAAUGAGGUCAUUCAUCUUCAAUGGCUGAAAGUACAGUUCUGUUUACUGAGCAAUCCCUGAGAUUAAACAUAACAUUGAGCUUCUUUUCAAUAACGAGAAACACUUACACAGUAGGUUUAAGUUUUAAAUUUCUUGGAUAACAAAUCUCUCACCAUGUUUGUAUUUUCCACUUUGGUAGAAAAAAAUAACGAUGUAGAAGUCAACAUCUAUUGCAUUAUGCUUUGAAGAGGUUUAUAACAAAAGAACUCAAAUUAAGAACAUCUGAAGGUAGAUAAAGUCUAUUGUCUUGGAGGAAUGAGGAAGGCACUGGAGCAAAUAGCUCCCAUUAACCUUACUUAGCCCCUUUCAGAAUUGUAAGAUGGCAUCAAAACUUUGGAGAAUCUAACCAGGGAAAGAGAGAGAGAGGAAAGACUGACAGUAGCACAUAGAUACACCUACUAACAAGGCACCAUGGGACUGGUAACAGGUGAUACCACUAUGAACCACACAUAAUUGGCAGCAUAAGUCUUGACUAGUUGAUGGUUUAUUGAGUCCAGUGGUUCCCAACUGCACACCCUUCUUUUCCUCCCAUUUUCAUUUUAACAUACACCUGUAGGAGUAGUGGCAAGCAUCUCUACUCAGAAUGGUACCUGAAAUCACUGUCCAUGGGGCUGAGUGCUCCAGGGAAUUUGGAAGUGCCUUCGUAUCCACUAAAAAAACACAUCAAUACCUACUUUUAGAAAGUCCUAUUGUACCCAUCAGACUUAGAAACGCAACGGUCAGACAUUCCAUGUGAAAAAUAAAAAUACAUAGCCACUGGCAUCAAGUUGGAGUAAGAUUCUGCAUGUUCCUUAACUGAAUGCUCAGGCACUCUGAAGAAUGAACUCAGUCACAACUAUUCUACUUCUUUAUCCAGUGAACUCAGCACCUUGUCCUAUAAUAGAGAAAGAAAAUUUAAAUUUUAAAAGCAAUGAUGACUGUGAUCCUAGUUUCAAAUCUGCUGAGGUCAGUCCUUAGGUUUGCCAGUUGAAUUUCCUGAACUCACAUGCUGUCUAUUCCAAUGGACAUAUACUUUACAGUACUUCAUGAAGCACAGAUCUACUAGGAUCACUUGCCUCUCAACAAGGUAGGUAAACAAGCUACAAAGGGCAGCGGCUGUGCACCACUGCUGGCAAAAAGCACUUUCCACAGUUGAUUUUGAAAUUGGGAUAUGAAGAUAAACAGAUGCUCUUGCGUAUAGAGAGGUGAAUAUACAACAUACCAUAAGGGCAGACUGUAUGAAGUGCUGAACUGCUGUGCUGCCCCCAGAACUCACCAACUUUAGACUUUAGGAAGUAGAUUAUAUCAAGCGUGUGGUGAAGAUUCCUGAUGUUUUUCUAGUCUUCAGCUAUUUGUGGUGGAGAGUCUGUCUGUGCCAGGAGUAUUGUGUUACACUGAGCAGCUCUCCAUGACUGUCUCCUAUUGAUUUUUGGAUCAAUGUAAAUAAACAGCUUGCAGCAUGGAAGAUGUAUUGUGGCAAGGAAAUCCAUAGCAUAAGUACACACUGUGUUAAGGAAUAACUUUUAGGUUUGAUUUGCAUCUGGCCCUUGCUAGUUCUGUGGAAGUAUGGUACUGCUAGAUCAUGCAUGAGUCAAGGGAGGCAGAACUCUUACCCAGCCCCCAUGGUCAUGAAUCCAGAGACUGAAGUGUUCUUGGAGGUACUUCAAUCCAAAGCGCAUGACCAGGUUCGUAGGAUGAUUGUCCACAGCAGUAAGUCUGGCGGCAAUUUCCAGUGCAAAGGCAACUCUGGUGAAUUGUAACUGGUCUUCUGUCUUGUUUGUUGAACCUGCUCAGACAUUCUCCAGGAAUAAAUUGGUGAUCCUCUCGAAGAAGGCAUAGGACAGCAUAUCUUCAAAACGCUGGUAGAAAUUCCUGUCCUUUUUGAACUGAAAAUAAGAAUAAGGAUUGUGCCACUUCUGUUGUAAUUGCUUUCUCUGUUCUACUUAGAAAGGAGAGCAUAUCUAGAUCAUAUAUGCAAUACAAGCUAAUUGUGGUGUUGAAUGCAAGAGGUGACACACAAACCCUGCACCUCACUGCAAAGCUGUUCCUUCAGGGUCUGGAGGUGGCUCUAUAUUUUUGUCUCAAAAAAAAAACCUUUAAAGUUUUUGGGGUUUGCAUGAGAGAAGCAGAGAGAGAGAAAGCAAAACAAGUGUGACAUUGAUAUGUCACCUCACCUGUAGGUGAGGGCAUAUGGGAGUACAUGGGCAGAGGGAGGAUGACAUUGAAGGUAAGGUGAGGAGAAAUGCUAUCAGCACGUGCUGUCCUAAGUCCCAUUUGCUCAGUCAUGGGAGAAAGGGCAGCUAAAGAAGGGCAUUAAGAAGACAAAUACCUGUAUUUUUAAUAGAGAAAAUACUCCUACUAAUGGACACAUGCAAGGGUUCUUGUAUAGCUUCUGAGAAGAGCUUUCAAAAUGCACUAAGAAGACUUAUUUCCCUUUCUAUAUAGCAAUUCCUAAAGCUGUAGGUUUUCUCCUCCUCCACUGAGAACAACAUGUACGUCAAAUUUAAUGCAAGCACAAGAGGUUCUCAGAGUCAGUCAAGUGCCCAAAGUCCUACAAAACUCAACGGGAUUGAGGCAAGUAACUCUUCUGGUUUUAAGAUUAAGAUUUCAGAAUGAAUGGUGAAGGAUUCAGAAAGCCCCAAAUGGUGCAAAGAGAGGUUCAAGACAGAGACAGAGAGGAGGGCUACAAAACAUUAACUCCCACCAAAAGUGUAAUUUCUCUCUGUAGCCUAUGUAUCUCCUGAAAGCAGAAGCAUUUACCUUUUUUUCUAGCUGAUUCCCUGAUUUUCUUAACAGUGCGACUAUUGUUUGUAUAGUCUUUUCUUCAUCUGUAAAAGAAAAGAGUUGACAUAAAUAUUGCUGCCUUCCAAUAGGGUCCAGAGAACAAAUCAUGGCAAAGUCUUUGUGUUACUUAAUCAUGAAGAGAUGCUAUUUUGUGGCAAAUUCACAGAGUUGGGUAUCCAGGCUCUAGAAUCUCACUGUUCUAAUCUGCAUGGAGUAGGCAAUGCUUUUUCUCUGCAUGAUGUUUUGCUCCAUUUAAGAACCUUGGAAGGAGCUUUAGCAUCCCACUGCCAGCCCUGAGUGCUUUGAGGUAUGGCUCACAAAGCAGCAGCUAGCAGAAGCCCAAGAAUAUGGACUUAAAAUAAGGGGAAGAGGUCCCCUCUUCAUUACCAAUUGCACUUUCUGCAACUCAUUAGAACAAACUCUGGGUUUAAUGAAUUACAGAAAAUGUAACUACGACAGGCUCCCUCUUGCAACCAGAAAUCCUGAGGAAGCUUGCACUAACUGCAAACUUCUGCAGAUGCCAUGGAAGACGGGCAGUUCAGACAUUUAACAGAGGUUUCUGGUCAGUGUUGUCCCCUCACUGAAGACUGACAUCAUUGUCCCAGUAGCAGGUUUUCGGCCUUAAAGCCCUAGUGAACUGUUUUUUCCCCAACCCUGCCACUCUUAGCACUGCUCUGGCACCUUGUGUCACUUUGCUGCCAUUCUCCUUUUGCAUGUCACACCUGCCUGAAUUUUUAAGGAUGUUUCCUUUAACUGCAGUAGCAAGUAGCAAAAGAUGUCCUUGAAAUAUGGGAAACAGGGCACGAAUCAGCAGAGUAAACUUCCCCCUUCACAGCAUCUUACCGCAGAACUUCCAAGUGUUUCACCAUUCCUGGAGAAAAUGCCUUGCUCUGCAACACCAAUCUGAUCUACUGCCUAUGAGCUUGAAAUUCUUCCCCCUUACCAUUUACUUCACCCUCAUUUUCAUCAGCAGUAUCUCUGCCAUCUUGUUCCAGAGCCUGGGUAAGCACAAGCAUCUUGAAUGUCACAUUUGAAGGAGAUGGCUGAGACGUGGUAGUAACAAGCUUGGAGAGUUUGUCUACAAUGUGGUUGACAUCUGCUUUUUCACCUGGUUGGGAAGAAGGGUGGGAAAUAAUUAAGGUUAUUAAUCUUUCCCAGAAAUGAUUCAGAGAUUUACUUGUUUAUAUGUUUGCUGAGGUGGAAGUGCCCAGAGGAUACCAAGAGAUACAUCUUCCAUUGCUGGGUCUUUUGUUGUUUCCUGAGAUCAGCUGGUAAUAAUUUAGAGCACAACAUAUUUCCACCCCUCUCUAAUAUUUGAACAGCAACUAAUUAUACAUAGACCAAAUGGAAGAAAGUGUGAGCAUUGCCCACUAGCAUAAAUCCUUGCAACUCAGAAGCACAACAUAUAUUAAGAAAUGGGACUGUGAAUCACAGACCUUAUUAUGAGGGUGAAAUUGCCCAGAGAUUCAGCGCCUGGAUUCCAGAAGGGUGAUGUAUUUGAAUGCUCUCUUCCUUGUUCCCUCAGGUUAACUCUAAGUAAAGGAGAACCAGGCUUCCCUUCAGAGGCACCUCUAGCGCAGAAGCUUCUCAUGUCCUCAACACUGUUGUGUUACGAAGGCAUAAGUACUGCUAGAAUUCAUCACCCAGCAGCCAGACUGGCUUCAUCCACCCAGCAUGUUGACCUUGUUGGUGACUCUCACUGUCAUCCCUCACCAGGGGUAUUCUGCUGGGGUUCCUGCCACAGCCCAAGGAGCAACAGGAAUUAUUGUAAGACUUGCUUCAUCUGGAAGGCACUUGUCUUCACAGUGAGCCUCAUUGAGCUGGGGAUGCAAGAGUGAUCUCACCUUAGUGACAGCUUUAAUGCGACUGGCAGACAGCAAGACAAGCUCAGCUGUGGUCUGACCGAAAACACUUAUCAAAUCCACAGGCAGAGUUUGUUGUGAGGUGCUAAUGCAGACAAUGAAAACUGCAUUUCCAGGGUGAUGAAUCAACCCCCGGACAUUUCCUUCCCCCCAUUCGCAUACAGAGCCACUAAAGUUCUAGGAAGAUGAGUGGGCCGUUUGUGACAGUGUAUGACUAUGUCUUCAGAAACCUAAGAAGAUGAUUUCUUUUAAACAGAACCGGCUCUCUUCAGGCAUGUGAUCCCCCAGAGAACCUCUACUUGCUGCAGAAUGGCCUGGCCAAGUGUGUUUGGCAGCUGCCAGCAGUGCAAGUUAUAAAAAAUAAUGUUUUAGAAAUAAGACCAGCAAUCUGCUCAACAAUAGUUCACAUCUGGAUUGUGAUAAAAAUGUGGGAAUGUUUAUGUUUGUUCAUUGUAGUAAAAUGUAAAACUAUUUGUUGAUUGUGAUAAAGUGUGAAUGUGAGACUGUUUGUCCAUUGUGAAGGAAAGUACUACUAGCCUGACGAAGGGGGGGAAAUAUAAACAUCCUGAACCCCCUGAAGAGAAUGUAAACGUCUAGGUCUAGUAACUGUCCUUGUGAAAACUCGAACAUUCUGUCUCGCCACUUCGCCUCUCCAUCCUAAAUAAAGCAAACCAACCCAGUAAGAGGAAGGUUGCGAUGACAUCUAGCAAUGGGAAAGUACAACUGCAGACGCCAAACAAGCACCCCGGAAGCCUCAACAACCAGAACUGAGAGACUAUAAAAAUAAAAAGCGGCUGGUGGCGGGUUGCGCCUUUUUGAGGAGUCGUGACUCUGCGACUCCCAGGGUGCCCAGCGCUGUUCUUUGCUUGUGUUUUUGCUUACUCGAAUUAAUAAAUACUUUUCUAUAAUUUG